UACAAAUUGCUCUCUCAAAACGCUUACUAAAACCCCUUCCAGAGUCAUUUUUUAUUCACAUGGAUGGGUUUGGUCAUUUUGGACACACACCCUAUGUCAUGUGGUCAUCGUGGGGGCUAAGUGAGACCUGAUUCCUUUUUAAGGAAAAUAUGAGGGUUGAUGUCCUGGCCCAGCCUGGAGCAGAGCCACCACAAGGAGAUUUAUUUUAGGUAAUUGAAGGAGUUGUCCAGAGUCAGUCAUUAGUUUUACAGAGAGUUCAGUUCCUACAGGGGAAAAUAACGAUGGUGUGUUGUGAGCCUCUUUCACUGGUGACCACAGCUGCAGACAUCCAGGCCAACUGGGCUGCCUAAAUAUCACCUGGUGUUUCAUGGGAGAUUCCCUCAAUCAGAUGUAUAAACCCUCGGGAGUUACAAACCCAGACAUACCAAGGAAUGCCAAACCUGACCGUGCCUAGAGCUAAUGCUCCUUCCCCAAUCACAGGUUGAUCUGUGUGGUUUCUAGUGUCAGGAGAUCAAUAUGCACACAACUGUUUUCCAAGCAGACCAGGGAGAGACGAUAGCUGUGCACCCCUAUUUCUAUACAAAUAGCCUUACUAAGCACCACUUAAGCAGGAGUGGCCACCAAAAGUAGAUGUUUCAGGGAGGGAAUGAUUAAUUCAAGGAUGUACUCAAUUAUGGGCAAGAUGGAGUUUCCGCUGGGCAUGGUGGCUCCCUGCAAUUAGAAAAGCUGAGGCAGGAGGAUCCCUUGAGUCCGGGAGUUAAUCUGUUAAAUGAAAAGGAAAGAAAGAAAAAGAAAAAAGAUGGAGUCUAUACAUCUCUUUUAGCCAUUGAUGAUAUUACUAAAAAUGCAAUGUUGAGAAGCCAAGGGACAGGACAGCCCAGAAACCCACAUUUGGUCCAUAGUACCUGGUACCAGUGAAAUAAGAAAGUUGGAAACAAUCUUCCUCUCUGCUUUUCUUCCUCAGCAUUUUCUUUCCAAAAUCUGACAUGUUUUACAGAGGUGUGUUACCCUGACAUUGCCUGCAGAUGAUCAGACAAUCAAGCUUCCAGAUUGGGGUUUUGGUUCUAUUUUCCAAGGGCAUUGGAGUAGGUAGCUUUUAGGGAAAAGGUGCCCUGGAGCACCUGAAUUCUUUGCCAUCUUUCUGUCUUAGUUUCUAACCCACUCAUCAGUGGAGUGGCAAAGGAGGGGUCUGGCUUUCCAUCUCAUCCAUAGAAUAAGUAGCCAGCAUUUAUGAUUCCAAACUUUCAACAGUUUGGCCGUUCAGUUUCCUGUAAGUUCCCCUUAAAGAAUCAACUAUGACAUUGCUUUCU
Molecule: long non-coding RNA, 1310 nt
Filed under: Marmota monax (woodchuck)
Lineage: Eukaryota; Metazoa; Chordata; Mammalia; Rodentia; Sciuridae
Source: RNAcentral